GGAAUAUUGGUCAAUGGACGCAAGUCUGAACCAGCCAUGCCGCGUGAAGGAUGAAGGUCCUCUGGAUUGUAAACUUCUUUUAUCUGGGACGAAAACGGGAUUUUUAUCUCAAUUGACGGUACCAGAGGAAUAAGCACCGGCUAACUCCGUGCCAGCAGCCGCGGUCAUACGGAUGGUGCAAGCGUUAUCCGGAUUCACUGGGUUUAAAGGGUGCGUAGGUGGGCAGAUAAGUCAGUGGUGAAAUCUUCCGGCUUAACCGGGAAACUGCCGUUGAUACUAUUUGUCUUGAAUGUUGCGGAGGUGAGCGGAAUAUGUCAUGUAGCGGUGAAAUGCUUAGAUAUGACAUAGAACACCAAUUGCGAAGGCAGCUUACUACACAAUCAUUGACACUGAGGCACGAAAGCGUGGGUAGCGAACA
RNAcentral lists this ribosomal RNA (418 nucleotides) under uncultured bacterium. RNAcentral's name for it is "bacterial SSU rRNA". It matches the Rfam family "Bacterial small subunit ribosomal RNA", at positions 358 to 774 of the family's 1533-position model. The record is from RNAcentral.